This 698-nucleotide non-coding RNA is filed under the name Macropostrongyloides baylisi. Lineage: Eukaryota; Metazoa; Nematoda; Chromadorea; Rhabditida; Strongylidae. The record is from RNAcentral.
AAAGAUUACUUUUAUAGAAUUUAAAUUUGAUUAUGGUUUAUGAAUUUCUAAAAUGGUAUUAUUUAAGUUUAAUUUAUAAUGUGGGCAAUAGAAUUUUACCCCGGCAAUUAAUUAUUUGUAUAAUACUUGUUCCAGAAUAAUCGGCUAUGCUUGUUAAAUUUAAGCUUUAUUUUGUUUUAACUAUGACUAUUGAUUUAGUAAUUUUAAUAAUUAUAGGUUAAAUUUUAAUUAAUUUUUAAAAUAGAGUUUUAGUUUUAAGAUUUGAUAAUUAAAUUAGAUUAGUACCUAAUUAGACAAAAAUUAAAAAAGCAGUAGUAAAGUGGUAUUUAAACUGAAAAAAUAUUGGCAGAUAUUUCUAAAUUAUCUUUGGAGGUUGAGUAAUAAUUGAGAACCCUCAUUAACUACUUUAGUAUUUGGUCUCAUGUAUGAUCGUUUAUUUUAUACUUAAGGUAUAUAAUAAAAAAUUAUUUAUUUAUAAAAAUAGAUAUAUAUUUGGUUUAUGAAGAAGUAAAAUUUGACCUACAAUAUGUUAAUUUUGUGGAUUUAUAGUGUAGUGUUAUAAUGAAAAUGUAAAAGACAGUAAAAAAAUUUUUAUGAUUUUUUGAAGAUUAUUUAGAUGUGGUACAAAUCAUCCAUCAAUUGCCUAAAGGGGAGUAAGUUGUAGUAAAGUAGAUUUAGGGGAACCUGAAUCUAGUAAU